Molecule: small nucleolar RNA, 136 nt
Organism: Cololabis saira (Pacific saury)
Lineage: Eukaryota; Metazoa; Chordata; Actinopteri; Beloniformes; Belonidae
Product: small nucleolar RNA SNORA84
Exons: 1
Source: RefSeq, a predicted model, not a curated record
GCCUGGUGGUUCCUAGAGUCAGCUCCAUCGUGCUGAACUCUAGGUUAUUAUUAACAGGCACAAAUUGAUUUCUGUGAUUUUAUGCAUGGAAGCUGUCUCCAUAGCAGCUCUCCAUAGCCCGGUUGCAGAGACACGA